RNAcentral lists this ribosomal RNA (189 nucleotides) under uncultured bacterium. RNAcentral's name for it is "partial 16S ribosomal RNA". It matches the Rfam family "Bacterial small subunit ribosomal RNA", at positions 169 to 353 of the family's 1533-position model. The record is from RNAcentral.
ACGCAUAAGAUUGUAGUAUCGCAUGAUAUAGCAAUUAAAGGAAGCAAUCCGCUAUAAGAUGGACCCGCGUCGCAUUAGCUAGUUGGUGAGGUAAUGGCUCACCAAGGCGACGAUGCGUAGCCGACCUGAGAGGGUGAUCGGCCACAUUGGGACUGAGACACGGCCCAGACUCCUACGGGAGGCAGCAUG